Molecule: ribosomal RNA, 149 nt
Filed under: uncultured bacterium
Lineage: Bacteria
Description: partial 16S ribosomal RNA
Rfam family: Bacterial small subunit ribosomal RNA
Source: RNAcentral
AGGCAGCAGUGGGGGAUAUUGGACAAUGGGGGGGAACCCUGAUCCAGCGACGCCGCGUGAGUGAAGAAGUAUUUCGGUAUGUAAAGCUCUAUCAGCAGGGAAGAAAGUAUGACGGUACCUGAGUAAGAAGCCCCGGCUAACUACGUGCC